Non-coding RNA from Lentinula lateritia, 95 nucleotides. The record is from the annotation of a GenBank genome assembly. NCBI's taxonomy places the organism in Eukaryota, Fungi, Basidiomycota, Agaricomycetes, Agaricales, Omphalotaceae.
GGUUUGAUGGCGUAGUUGGUUAUCGCAUCUGUCUAACACCACCUAGUAGGGUUGAGUUUCACAGAAGGUCCCCGGUUCGAGCCCGGGUUAAAUCA